Molecule: long non-coding RNA, 544 nt
Filed under: Carica papaya (papaya)
Lineage: Eukaryota; Viridiplantae; Streptophyta; Magnoliopsida; Brassicales; Caricaceae
Description: long non-coding RNA (CPAP_LNC007816)
Source: RNAcentral
AGAAAUAAGUGUAAAUAGUAAAUAAAAAAAAGAGUAGAUUUACCAGAGCCUAUACUCUGAUACUAACUGAUGCGGAACCCGAGAUCAACAAUGAAAUCCAAAAUCCCGCAUAUAUAUAAGCAAUUAGAGGCUCAAAAACCUAAGCAUCCCUAUUUGACCUGCACUCAAAUAGGGGAGUUUAAAACUAAAGUAACUGAGAAAGAAAUAAAGAACUAUAAUUGAAAAGAGGCCAUGAGACUUACCUCAAUAAGUGAUCCCAAUUCCUAACACAAGUCGGUCGAAAACCCACUCACUCACUCUUACAAGUUUGGAAGCUUAAAAUAAGAAUAGUUGAAUUUUAUUAAUAAGCUGAAUAUUCCGAAUUGAAUUACAACUCUAAAUUGAAUGCCUAUUUAUAGUGUAGUCUAUGCGAAUAAUAAGGGAAAAAUAAUCUCUUAAUUUAUGGUAGAAAUUAUAUAGGAAAUUAAAUCUACACUAUAAUGGAAAACUAGCAAGAAUUAAGAAAAUUACAAUUAAAAUAGUAUAGAUAUGAUUUUCCUAUGAG